RNAcentral lists this ribosomal RNA (253 nucleotides) under uncultured bacterium. RNAcentral describes it as "partial 16S ribosomal RNA". It matches the Rfam family "Bacterial small subunit ribosomal RNA", at positions 524 to 776 of the family's 1533-position model. The record is from RNAcentral.
UACGAGGGGGGCAAGCGUUGUUCGGAAUUAUUGGGCGUAAAGAGCUCGUAGGCGGUCUGUCGCGUCUGCUGUGAAAACUCGGGGCUUAACCCCGGGCCUGCAGUGGGUACGGGCAGACUAGAGUGCGGUAGGGGAGACUGGAAUUCCUGGUGUAGCGGUGAAAUGCGCAGAUAUCAGGAGGAACACCGGUGGCGAAGGCGGGUCUCUGGGCCGUAACUGACGCUGAGGAGCGAAAGCAUGGGGAGCGAACAGG